Molecule: ribosomal RNA, 355 nt
Filed under: uncultured bacterium
Lineage: Bacteria
Description: bacterial SSU rRNA
Rfam family: Bacterial small subunit ribosomal RNA
Source: RNAcentral
GAUGAACGCUGGCGGCAUGCCUAACACAUGCAAGUCGAACGAGCUGGAGCAAUCCAGCUAGUGGCGAACGGGUGAGUAACGCGUAGGAAUCUGCCCCGAACUGGGAAAUACCCAGCCGAAAGGUUGGCUAAUGUCCCAUAGUCUCGCAAGAGUAAAGGCGUAAGCCGGUUUGGGAGGAGCCUGCGUCCUAUCAGCUUGUUGGUGGGGUAAUGGCCUACCAAGGCUUUGACGGGAGCUGGUCUAAGAGGACGGUCAGCCACAGUGGAACUGAGAAACGGUCCACACACCUACGGGUGGCAGCAGGUUGGGAAUUGUUCACAAUGGACGAAAGUCUGAUGACGCAAUGCCGCGUGGA